This is a long non-coding RNA of Drosophila sulfurigaster albostrigata, 1825 nucleotides long. RefSeq lists it as uncharacterized. Lineage: Eukaryota; Metazoa; Arthropoda; Insecta; Diptera; Drosophilidae. The record is from RefSeq and is a predicted model, not a curated record. The transcript has 3 exons.
UUGUCUGUUGUUUGGCUUCAGCAUGUUGCAUGUUUAUAGCUUUUCAUCAGCGUCAUCGAUCGAUCGUUUCGUGUUGAUGGUCGUUUAGAGAGGGCAUAGCCAGGGCUUAUUAUUGCCAUUUCUUCAAGUUUAUUUUGCUUUAAGUGAUGAUGAUAUGCUAUCAUUUCAGCGUACUUUCCUCUCUUCGCUUGUGAGAAAGAAAGAAUUUCUUUCUUGUUUUGGUUAUCAAUUUCAUGUCUGGCUAUUGUCAGCGCCUCAAUACAAUCAAUACGGAUGGCAAUGAGUAACCGCUUUUGUGCCUUGUCAUUGCCGGUCGUCAGUCGUCAGUCGCCAGUCGACAGUCUCCAGUUGGAGCACUCCAUCUUUUGUGGUUGCGGUUGUUUUUCUAUACGUUUAUUAUUCAUUCAGCAGGAGAAGGAAGAGUAGGGUGGGAAAUCAAGAGCUUCUGCUUUUUAUCUACAGCAAACAGUGCAGCAGCUUCGACUAAUUAUAAAUGUAUUAUUAUGACAGGUCUCAUGUGGUGGCAUGCCAUGUUCAUUUUUGGCGCCAUUAACCUUCAAUUGCCCAUGGCUGGCAAUCAGUUAAGUCAGUGACUUUGUCACCAACUCAACAACGACGACGACGACGACGACGGCGACACACGACUUGCAUCUAAAAACGCGGCGUCGUUGACAUGGAUGUGACCAAAAAUAGCUGACUAUUAACUGUGGCAAACCUCUCUACAACUGAGCCAAUAAGACAAGAGAAAAACGACACUUGGAACAAGCGAAGCGAAGCGAGCACAAAUAAUUGCAUUGAAAUUAUUUAUGUACCCAAAACUCGCCGUCACUCGACUCAUAAAAUCAUAAAAAUGGGGACCAAGAGAAGCGCCAGCACAGCGUGAAGUGCACAGCAACAAAAGCCUUGGAGGGGUGUCCAACACAUCAAGAGAGGAAGAAGAAACAACAUCAGCUUGAGCCCAAGCCCAAACUCAUGGCUGACCCCAAGCAAAGUCAACACACAUCAAAGUGACGCGAGAAGAGGUCAAGCGUUAAGUCAUAAAAAAAAAAAAAAAAAAAAAAACAGUGCCCCCCAUGGCUGUGAAGAGACACACCGCAGUUGCAAGGGGAAACUCGGGAAAACUCAAGACAAAUGUUAAUCAUCCGAUCUGUCAGUUGGCAGUUGCAACCUCACGAUGAUCGUCAUCACCACAGCAGCAGCAGCAGCAGCAGUGUCAUCAACAAGUCCGUUCAGUGACUGUCGAUGACGUUGUCAACUUUUGAUGUUAGUCAACGCCACAGCGAAACAACAUUUCCACAAAAGUCCAUGGCAAGGCUUCAGCUUUAGCUUCGGCUUUAGCUUCAGCUUCGACUUUAGUGAGGCCAGUCGAAGGCGACCUGAAUAAAAAGCAUUUUAGUAACGCGCUAAUUACAUAAAAUUGUUGUUCUUUGGAAUUACAAGUGCAACAAGUACGACUACAACAGAAGCAAUUCUCAACUCUUAGCUCUCAAUUCGCGAUUCUCAUUGCAAUCAACAGGUUCUCUGCCAAUGCAUUGAACAGCUGCUCAUACUUUCUACGCAAAAUACUUGAGAAUUAUUUACAAGAGGUGUGUUGUCAUUUCGCAUGUCUCGACAAAUUUCAGUUGUACUCCAGGGUUAGAAGUAUUUUGUGUUAAAAUGAUUUCAAUUGCAUUAUCUGUAAUAAGCUCAAGGAAACAGAAUAAAGAAGGAAUUGAAGCUUACAUUCUACUUUACUGAACCUUGCAAUUGAAGCCUAUCUUAAAGUGAUUCAAUUGAUUUAUCACAAGGAAUUUCCCAGCUACAGUUGAUUACAUUUUCUUUGGAA